GGACUACUGGGGUUUCUAAUCCUGUUCGCUCCCCACGCUUUCGCUUCUCAGUGUCAGUAUCGGCCCAGAGACCCGCCUUCGCCACCGGUGUUCCUCCUGAUAUCUGCGCAUUCCACCGCUACACCAGGAAUUCCAGUCUCCCCUGCCGAACUCUAGCCCGCCCGUAUCGGAAGCAGGCCCGCGGUUAAGCCGCGGGUUUUCACUCCCGACGCAACGAGCCACCUACAAGCUCUUUACGCCCAAUAAUUCCGGACAACGCUCGCACCCUACGUAUUACCGCGGCUGCUGGCAC
Molecule: ribosomal RNA, 292 nt
Filed under: uncultured bacterium
Lineage: Bacteria
Description: partial 16S ribosomal RNA
Source: RNAcentral